This 2855-nucleotide long non-coding RNA is filed under the name Nicotiana benthamiana. Its description in RNAcentral is "long non-coding RNA (NBEN_LNC021321)". Lineage: Eukaryota; Viridiplantae; Streptophyta; Magnoliopsida; Solanales; Solanaceae. The record is from RNAcentral.
ACACCCACCUCCCUUAAAAAAGGAUCAGCCAAAAACCAAACACCUUAGAUACACCCCCACUGCCUUAUUUUACUUGACACCGAAAAACAACCUCAAAGAGAAAGACCUCCAUCAUCACCUUCUCUUAGACAAAAGAGAGCCAGCCAUCCAACCUCGUUUCCAAGGCGCUACUACUUCCGUCCAAAAGACCCUCUCCUCCCCGAAGUACCUUCAGCCGUUUCCAAAUAUCCUUUGACGCCGGCAAUAGCCAUGAACGCUGGCAGACACCCCUUUCUCUACUCUCUCACCGCCGAACUCCCUUCUCCAAAAAACCAACCGUUCAAGGUUUGUUUGUCUCUUCGAUAUGGUUCGUGGGUUUGCUCGAUUUUAUAGCUGUCCUUAAUCGAAUUGUGGAGACGAGUUUUGUAUAUGUCAAUUCGAUAUUAAGAAGAGUUUCGGCUAAACAGAUUCAUUUUUCACUCUUCUCUUCUUUAUUUGAUUACACUCGGAACAAAUCGAUUAUUGUUUGGAUUGCGUCAUUAGUGAUUUCUGAAAGUUUGUUUAAUUUUUAAUUUAGUUUUUUGUUGUGUUGUGUAUGUUCCCUUUGUGUCUUAUUUCCUAGAAAAUCCCUAUUUUAAUGAGUUUGGAGUUGAUAGAUCUUAAUUCCGUGUCAUUUUGCUUUUAAUUUGUUUCAAACCUUAAAAAUAAUUUAGUAGACAAACUGCAAUGUUUCAGCUAUUACUGCUACUGUGAGAAUAGGGUACUGGUUGUGGUAGUUGAGAAGCUUCUUCCACCACCUAAGCCUAAGACGGUUAAAAUUGCAAUUUCAUGAAUUUUAGUUAUUAUUAAUGUGCGUCAGUCGUAAUUCAGCUUUGUCACCUAACCUUAGCAAUCUAAGUUUUUAUUAUCAUUUUACUCAUUUAGGCCAUGCAUUUGGAUUGAAUAGUUGGUCCAGCUUUUUCUUAAUUCUACCAUAUAGGACAAUGCUCCAUAGAAUAACUCACAUAUCAAUAUUUUGAUUUAAGUGUGCUCUUAAUUAAUUAAAUUAUUAUGAUUAUAUAUACGGUCACGUGAUAUCGUUAUGAUUUUCAAAAGUAAAACCAAGGAAUGUGUUUGCGCAACCUUAGGCUAAACAAUCUUAAUAAUCUUAAAGUUUUAUUAAUUGUGUAUACGUAUGCAUGAUAUGAUUCUUGAUGCACCGAACGAAAUGAGUACACGUACGUGUGACUCGUUUCAAGAUAAUUUCAAAAUCGCAAAUUAUCAAGUAAUUAAAAGCGGUAAAAGGUAAAAUGCACAUAGGUUCUAAAAUGAGUAAAUAAAUUAUUUGAUAUUACUGUAUUUGUGGACCUAAUAUGCUAAUUGCCGCUCAUUUACCGCUUUGAUAUUAUUUGAAUUGUAUAAUCUGCCUUCUUAUGUCUCCCUUCUAAGUCUUCAGAACUAUUGGUGCACACAUGAGCGUGACCCAGUUUUCUGUUAGAGGUCGUACCAAGUAGAACAAGGCAGGAUCAACAACUAUGCCGUGUAGACUUUCACACUCCCGGUACAUUGUCCCCACCUUGGUCGGAGCUGUCCGCUUGGGUAAGUCAUGUCUAGAACACACCCCCAAUUUUAGACCUAGAAUGACAUAACCUCAUGUCGAAUCCCUAGUAGGCACGUUUGUUUGCAUCAUGUGCAUUUAACUUUAGGGACUCAACACAGGGAUUGGGUCCAUCUAGGACAGGUGUACCAAAAAAUAAAAGACUAACUUGAUGCAUCUUAUAUGCGACAUGUUGCAUUCUUCAAGGGUAAAAAUGGUCAUUUGGCGGAUAAAUGAUGGUUGAGGAUAAAUGAUAAAGAAAAGAGGGGGUGAAGUUUAAAAAUGAAGCAACUAAGAUCCCGUUAUAUUUUUCUCACAAAUUUUUUUGUUCAAGAAAAGACCAAAAAAAGUUAAAACAAAAAAACCUCUAAAAGAUUUUUCACAUUCCCAUCAUUUUUCUUUUCCAAAAAAAAAAGACAAAAUAUGUUUUCUCCCAAUCAGUUAUUCUUUUUAUUCUCGCACGUAUCCACUUUUCUCAAUUUAUGCGUUCCUGAUUCUCGUCUUUCGGAGAGUGAUACAUAGGAAGCCCACAUAGGGUCUAGUGUUCCUAGUGAUUCUUAACUUCUUGGCUUCGAGGGUUGUAGCAUAAUCUCGCAUGUCUAGCCAUUUUUAGCUACAUCAGUCGUUUUGCAAAAUAGGGCUAUUUUCACAGAGUGGCUUGUUCAACUAUAGAGUCUUGAAUCCAUAAUUAAAUGUAUUUUUACUUCAAGGCUCGUCCUUAUUAAAUUUGCAUGUCUAGCUACUUUUGGCCACAUCAGUCGUUCUUGCAAAUGACAACAACGACCCAGCAAAUUCCACUAGUGGAGUCUGGGGAAGGUAGUGUAUACGCAGACCUUACCCCUGCCCCGAAGAAUUAGAGAGACUAUUUCGGAAAGACCCUCACUCUUGCAAAAUGGGAUUAUUUUUGCAAAAAUGGUUCAACGACCCAUGUCUUAGAGUCCUACGUCCACAACAAUGUGUCCUCUCUGAUUAAGGUCCAUUAUUGUUGAAUUUGCAUGCUUAGCUUUUUUUUUUGCCACAUAGGCCACUUCUACAAUAUGGAUCAUUUCAACAAAGUUAUUUUUCCAUGUCUUAGAGGUCACAUCUGCUGAGUUUGUACUUCUAGCCACCUUUUCGACACGUAGGCCAUUUUGCAAAAAUAGCCGAAUCAUGCCUUGAAUGUAUCAAAUAGGAAGUGUUUUGGUCAUACAUAGUGUCCCGAGUCACUAACUCUGUUCUAUUUUAUUUUUCUCAUUCAGGUAUGGAUCCAUUUAUCAAAGCUCGAGCACGAUAGACGGCCAAUGACCCUCAUGGUCAGGAC